RNAcentral lists this ribosomal RNA (880 nucleotides) under Fluctibacter halophilus. Its description in RNAcentral is "bacterial SSU rRNA". It matches the Rfam family "Bacterial small subunit ribosomal RNA", at positions 382 to 1256 of the family's 1533-position model. The record is from RNAcentral. Lineage: Bacteria; Pseudomonadati; Pseudomonadota; Gammaproteobacteria; Alteromonadales; Alteromonadaceae.
CCUGAUGCAGCCAUGCCGCGUGUGUGAAGAAGGCCUUCGGGUUGUAAAGCACUUUCAGUUGUGAGGAAGGGGUGUUGGUUAAUACCCACCAUCAUUGACGUUAGCAACAGAAGAAGCACCGGCUAACUCCGUGCCAGCAGCCGCGGUAAUACGGAGGGUGCGAGCGUUAAUCGGAAUUACUGGGCGUAAAGCGCACGCAGGCGGUUUGUUAAGCUAGAUGUGAAAGCCCCGGGCUCAACCUGGGAUGGUCAUUUAGAACUGGCAGACUAGAGUCUUGGAGAGGGGAGUGGAAUUCCAGGUGUAGCGGUGAAAUGCGUAGAUAUCUGGAGGAACAUCAGUGGCGAAGGCGGCUCCCUGGCCAAAGACUGACGCUCAUGUGCGAAAGUGUGGGUAGCGAACAGGAUUAGAUACCCUGGUAGUCCACACCGUAAACGCUGUCUACUAGCUGUGUGUGAAUUUAAUUCGUGCGUAGCGAAGCUAACGCGCUAAGUAGACCGCCUGGGGAGUACGGCCGCAAGGUUAAAACUCAAAUGAAUUGACGGGGGCCCGCACAAGCGGUGGAGCAUGUGGUUUAAUUCGAUGCAACGCGAAGAACCUUACCUACACUUGACAUGCAGAGAACUUAGCAGAGAUGCUUUGGUGCCUUCGGGAACUCUGACACAGGUGCUGCAUGGCUGUCGUCAGCUCGUGUCGUGAGAUGUUGGGUUAAGUCCCGCAACGAGCGCAACCCUUGUCCUUAGUUGCCAGCCUUAAGUUGGGCACUCUAAGGAGACUGCCGGUGACAAACCGGAGGAAGGUGGGGACGACGUCAAGUCAUCAUGGCCCUUACGUGUAGGGCUACACACGUGCUACAAUGGUAAGUACAGAGGGAAGCGAGACG